UACUCCUACGGGAGGCAGCAGUGAGGAAUAUUGGUCAAUGGACGGAAGUCUGAACCAGCCAAGUAGCGUGCAGGAUGACGGCCCUAUGGGUUGUAAACUGCUUUUAUGUGGGAAUAAAGUCAGGGACGUGUCCCUGUUUGCAUGUACCACAGGAAUAAGGACCGGCUAAUUCCGUGCCAGCAGCCGCGGUAAU
RNAcentral lists this ribosomal RNA (193 nucleotides) under uncultured bacterium. Its description in RNAcentral is "partial 16S ribosomal RNA". It matches the Rfam family "Bacterial small subunit ribosomal RNA", at positions 334 to 524 of the family's 1533-position model. The record is from RNAcentral.